CAGGGAGACAACAAAAUGUAAAUAUUAAUUUUGUCACCUUAGGUCGAUCGGUAUCUCAGAUUCUUAAAAUAUUUAAGAAUUUCAGUUUCUAAGUUUUUUCUAGGUCACACCCAUCACUUUUUCCUGGGCCAUUAGCUCAGGUGGUUAGAGCGCACCCCUGAUAAGGGUGAGGUCCCUGGUUCAAGUCCAGGAUGGCCCAUAUCUCUAUGUUGGGGGUAUAGCUCAGUUGGUAGAGCGCCUGCUUUGCAAGCAGGAUGUCAGCGGUUCGAGUCCGCUUACCUCCACUGAAUACCACCUCUUUCAUAUUGUAAAAAGAGGGAAAUUGUUUUGAGUAGUGUCCUUUUUGUUCUGAACGAAUCUAGCUUCCUAUUUUCUUUAUAAAUAAGACGCUGGACUCACUGAAUUAUUAUUCAUUGUUUUCAGAGAACCUUGACAACUGCAUAGAUUAUUUUUAAAGACAAUAAGCAUCUUUAAUGAUGCAGAUUUAUUAUUUGUGCGAAUGCAUUAAAUAACAAUUCUAUUAAGCUGAUGCUUCAAAAUUAUGAAGUUAUU
This 552-nucleotide transfer RNA is filed under the name uncultured Prochlorococcus sp. RNAcentral describes it as "partial 16S-23S ribosomal RNA intergenic spacer". The stretch from base 212 to 284 matches the Rfam family "tRNA". Lineage: Bacteria; Bacillati; Cyanobacteriota; Cyanophyceae; Synechococcales; Prochlorococcaceae. The record is from RNAcentral.